AUGAGGCUAAAGGAUUUGUUAAGAACAGUGAUAAUUCAUGAGGGGCAUCCAGAUGUGGUGUUUUGGAGGCCUCCCAAUUCCUGUUUCACUAUUGAGUUUGGCGCUGAUCUAUCCCUCGCAACCGCUGUUGGCUGUUUGAGCAAUCAACAUCAGUUUUUUCUAACCCCCGGUUUGUCUGUUUUGCAGGUCCAUGUUCCUCUGGUUCAAUUAUCGGGCAAUUUUGGUUCUGCUGUAGACGAAUUCGGUUGCUGA
This is a non-coding RNA of Vicia faba (fava bean), 252 nucleotides long. The record is from the annotation of a GenBank genome assembly. NCBI's taxonomy places the organism in Eukaryota, Viridiplantae, Streptophyta, Magnoliopsida, Fabales, Fabaceae.